GCCWAAAUCCUAGCCCACCGACUACCUCAACUUUACUUCCAUAAAAUAAAACAUUCUCCUCAUUAAGUAACGGCGAUUAAAAAAUGACCCGGGCCAUAAAAUAGUACCGCAAGGGAAAUGUGAAAUAAAAUGAAAAACCUAAAGCACAUAAUAGCAAAGUUUUAAUCUUGUACCUUUUGCAUCAUGGUCUAGCUAGUUUAAUCAAGCAAAACGCACUUAAAGUUUGACCCCCCGAAACUAAGCGAGCUACUCCAAAACAGCCUGACAGGGCCAACCCAUCCCUAUAGCAAAAGGGUGGGAAGAUUUUAGAGUAGAGGUGACACACCUAUCGAGCCUAGAGAUAGCUGGUUAUUCAAGAAAAGGAUUUCAGUCCACCUUUAAGUUUUCCAAGUACCACCAAACACCCUAUAAACUUCAAAGCUAUUCAAAUAAGGUACAGCCUAUUUGAAAAAGGAAACAACCUACAACUCAGGGUAAUGACUUACUCAUGUGACCAAGUCAGCCUAAAAGCAGCUAACUUCCAAAAAGCGUUCAAGCUUCACCACAAAUCAUCAUCAAUUCCACAAUUAACUCACAACCCUCAACCACUACUGAAUAAUUUCAUACUGUAUGAAAAAUAUUAUGCUAGAACUAGUAACAAGAAGAAGACCUUCUCCAAAAUGUAAACGUAAGCCAAAAUGAACCCCACACCGGCAUUUACCGUCAUAAGCCCGCAGUACCAACAUUACAAGAAAAACGUACUCUAACUAACGUUAACCUUACACCAGAGCAUUCCCGGAAAGAUCAAAAAAGGGGGAAGGAACUCGGCAAACAUUAGCCCCGCCUGUUUACCAAAAACAUCGCCUCUUGACAAAAUAUAAGAGGUCCAGCCUGCCCAGUGACUUAAAGUUAAACGGCCGCGGUACCCUAACCGUGCAAAGGUAGCACAAUCACUUGUUCUUUAAAUCAGGACCAGUAUGAAUGGCCUCACGAGAGCUAUACUGUCUCCCCCCUUUAAUCAGUGAAACUGAUCUCCUCGUGAAGAAGCGAGGAUAACAAUAUAAGACGAGAAGACCCCAUGGAACUUUAAACUUGACCCACUGCCUUAACGUAUAUCAACAAACUUAGACAAGAUGGCUACAAGUCUUUCGGCUGGGGCGACCACGGAGAAAAACCAAACCUCCAAGAUGAAAGGAUAACCCUAAUCAAAGAGCCACCGCUCAAAGAAUCAAUAAACUGACAUAUUGACCCAAACAUUUUGAUCAACGAACCAAGCUACCCUGGGGAUAACAGCGCAAUCCAUUUUAAGAGACCCCAUCAACAAAUGGGCUUACGACCUCGAUGUUGGAUCAGGGUACCCCAGUGGUGCAGCCGCUACUAAAGGUUCGUUUGUUCAACGAUUAAAACCCU
This 1389-nucleotide ribosomal RNA is filed under the name Cophyla tetra (four-spotted tree frog). RNAcentral's name for it is "partial 16S ribosomal RNA". It matches the Rfam family "Bacterial large subunit ribosomal RNA", at positions 261 to 2597 of the family's 2925-position model. Lineage: Eukaryota; Metazoa; Chordata; Amphibia; Anura; Microhylidae. The record is from RNAcentral.